UCCAGAUAGAGCCAGCAGCAGGGCCGGGGCGGACAGGUGGUGCGCUGCUGCUUUUUGUUGUUGUGUGCAGUUGAUGUAGCUGGCUACGAGCAACGUCACGUCUCGAACCUCAACAACACAAGACAGCAGAGAAAUACAGGCAGAACGUUGAACGUGGCUGUGUUGCUGCCUAUCGCAGGGUCAGAAAUCUUUCGGAGUUCAUCCAAAGCAUCUUGAUUUGGAGACGAACAAAGCUCUUACGGGUUUGGAACGACAUGAGGUGUACCUUUGUCAGAUGUCCUUUCAUGACGGGCCGUGUGUCGGGGUGAGUGAAGAGCGGACUAGCGGCUUUGAUCUUCAGGACGCUCUGGAGGACCCUCAGCCACUCCUCCAGCAGGUUUGGAGAGUCUGCUUUCAG
Puntigrus tetrazona (Sumatra barb) is the source of this 397-nucleotide long non-coding RNA. RefSeq lists it as uncharacterized. The record is from RefSeq and is a predicted model, not a curated record. The transcript is spliced from 3 exons. Lineage: Eukaryota; Metazoa; Chordata; Actinopteri; Cypriniformes; Cyprinidae.